Molecule: ribosomal RNA, 468 nt
Filed under: uncultured bacterium
Lineage: Bacteria
Description: partial 16S ribosomal RNA
Rfam family: Bacterial small subunit ribosomal RNA
Source: RNAcentral
UCCUCCCUCUGGCGGCGUGCUUAACACAUGCAAGUCGAACGGAAAGGCCCUGCUUUUGUGGGGUGCUCGAGUGGCGAACGGGUGAGUAACACGUGAGUAACCUGCCCUUGACUUUGGGAUAACUUCAGGAAACUGGGGCUAAUACCGGAUAGGAGCUCCUGCUGCAUGGUGGGGGUUGGAAAGUUUCGGCGGUUGGAGAUGGACUCGCGGCUUAUCAGCUUGUUGGUGGGGUAGUGGCUUACCAAGGCUUUGACGGGUAGCCGGCCUGAGAGGGUGACCGGCCACAUUGGGACUGGGAUACGGCCCAGACUCCUACGGGAGGCAGCAGUGGGGAAUAUUGCACAAUGGGGGGAAGCCUGAUGCAGCAACGCCGCGUGCGGGAUGACGGCCUUCGGGUUGUAAACCGCUUUCGCCUGUGACGAAGCGUGAGUGACGGUAAUGGGUAAAGAAGCACCGGCUAACUACGUG